ACAUCUCUUGGAGUUCUAGCUCACCUUUCUGGUGUUGUUCUUGUACUCAUUUGUUUAAUCUAGUUCUGCCACUUCUUCUUGAACUUCUUGUUAGAUUUCUAGUCUAUAUUUUGUGUCCGUGACAGCUACUGAAUUCCAAAACCUUAUUUAUGAUAUGGAUUGGAAUGGCAAAGCACUCAUCAAUCAAUUUUGAUAUAGAUUAAAGGAUAGUAUCAAAGAUUUAUUAUUAACAAUGCCAAAAAUAAAAUCUUUAGAAUAAUUUAUUACUCAAGCC
This 274-nucleotide long non-coding RNA is filed under the name Physcomitrium patens. RNAcentral's name for it is "long non-coding RNA (PPAT_LNC000424)". The record is from RNAcentral. Lineage: Eukaryota; Viridiplantae; Streptophyta; Bryopsida; Funariales; Funariaceae.